This 466-nucleotide ribosomal RNA is filed under the name uncultured bacterium. Its description in RNAcentral is "partial 16S ribosomal RNA". It matches the Rfam family "Bacterial small subunit ribosomal RNA", at positions 28 to 507 of the family's 1533-position model. The record is from RNAcentral.
GAUGAACGCUGGCGGCGUGCUUAACACAUGCAAGUCGAACGAUGAAGCCCAGCUUGCUGGGUGGAUUAGUGGCGAACGGGUGAGUAACACGUGAGUAACCUGCCCUUAACUCUGGGAUAAGCCUGGGAAACUGGGUCUAAUACCGGAUAGGAGCGUCCACCGCAUGGUGGGUGUUGGAAAGAUUUAUCGGUUUUGGAUGGGCUCGCGGCCUAUCAGCUUGUUGGUGAGGUAAUGGCUCACCAAGGCGACGACGGGUAGCCGGCCUGAGAGGGUGACCGGCCACACUGGGACUGAGACACGGCCCAGACUCCUACGGGAGGCAGCAGUGGGGAAUAUUGCACAAUGGGCGCAAGCCUGAUGCAGCGACGCCGCGUGAGGGAUGACGGCCUUCGGGUUGUAAACCUCUUUCAGUAGGGAAGAAGCGAAAGUGACGGUACCUGCAGAAGAAGCACCGGCUAACUACGUG